RNAcentral lists this ribosomal RNA (253 nucleotides) under uncultured bacterium. RNAcentral describes it as "partial 16S ribosomal RNA". It matches the Rfam family "Bacterial small subunit ribosomal RNA", at positions 524 to 776 of the family's 1533-position model. The record is from RNAcentral.
UACGGGGGGGGCAAGCGGUGUUCGGAAUUACUGGGCGUAAAGGGCUCGUAGGUGGCCAACUAAGUCAGACGUGAAAUCCCUCGGCUUAACCGGGGAACUGCGUCUGAUACUGGAUGGCUUGAGUUCGGGAGAGGGAUGCGGAAUUCCAGGUGUAGCGGUGAAAUGCGUAGAUAUCUGGAGGAACACCGGUGGCGAAGGCGGCAUCCUGGACCGACACUGACACUGAGGAGCGAAAGCCAGGGGAGCAAACGGG